UGGUCUACUCCCUCCGUCCAAAAAGUGAAUCUAGCUCUGUAUGUGACACAUUAUAGUACAACGAAUCUGGAUAGAAAUAUGUCUAGAUUCGUAGUACUAGGAUGUGUCGCAUCGAGUGUUGGUUUUUUAUGGGACGGAGGGAGUGGUAAU
RNAcentral lists this unclassified non-coding RNA (150 nucleotides) under Oryza sativa (Asian cultivated rice). RNAcentral's name for it is "partial microRNA MIR468n-9-as precursor". Lineage: Eukaryota; Viridiplantae; Streptophyta; Magnoliopsida; Poales; Poaceae. The record is from RNAcentral.